ACAAACUUGGUCAUUUAGAGGAAGUAAAAGUCGUAACAAGGUCUCCGUUGGUGAACCAGCGGAGGGAUCAUUACAAAGAGAGUGCUACACGUACUCGCCAACCCUCUGUGAACAUACCUGAACGUUUGCUUCGGCGGGCAGCCCUAGGGCGGGGCCGCCGCCUCCCUCGCGGGAGGUGCCCGCCGGAAGCCCCCCACACUCUGGUUUUUUUAUGUCUUCUGAGUACUAAAAGAAAUAAAUCAAAACUUUCAACAACGGAUCUCUUGGCUUUGGCAUCGAUGAAGAACGCAGC
Molecule: unclassified non-coding RNA, 292 nt
Filed under: uncultured fungus
Lineage: Eukaryota; Fungi
Description: partial contains small subunit ribosomal RNA, internal transcribed spacer 1, and 5.8S ribosomal RNA
Rfam family: Eukaryotic small subunit ribosomal RNA (bases 1-73)
Source: RNAcentral